UAAGCAUAUCAAUAAGCGGAGGAAAAGAAACCAACAGGGAUUGCCCUAGUAACGGCGAGUGAAGCGGCAACAGCUCAAAUUUGAAAUCUGGCGCAAGCCCGAGUUGUAAUUUGUAGAGGAUGCUUCUAGGUAGCGACCGGUCUAAGUUUCUUGGAACAGGACGUCAUAGAGGGUGAGAAUCCCGUAUGUGACCGGCCCGCACCUUCUACGUAGCUCCUUCGACGAGUCGAGUUGUUUGGGAAUGCAGCUCUAAAUGGGAGGUAAAUUUCUUCUAAAGCUAAAUACCGGCCAGAGACCGAUAGCGCACAAGUAGAGUGAUCGAAAGAUGAAAAGCACUUUGGAAAGAGAGUUAAAAAGCACGUGAAAUUGUUGAAAGGGAAGCGCUUACAACCAGACUUCUGGGCGGUGUUCCGCCGGUCUUCUGACCGGUCUACUCGCCGUCCCGAGGCCAACAUCAUCUGGGACCGCUGGAUAAGACCUUAGGAAUGUAGCUUCCCUCGGGAAGUGUUAUAGCCUCUGGUGAUGCAGCGCGUCUCGGGUGAGGUCCGCGCUUCGGCAAGGAUGUUGGCGUAAUGGUUGUCAGCGGCCCGUCUUGAAACACGGACCAAGGAGUCUAACAUCUAUGCGAGUGUUCGGGUGUCAAACCCCUACGCGUAAUGAAAGUGAACGGAGGUGGGAAGGGUAACCUGCACCAUCGACCGAUCCUGAUGUCCUCGGAUGGAUUUGAGUAAGAGCAUAGCUGUUGGGACCCGAAAGAUGGUGAACUAUGCCUGAAUAGGGUGAAGCCAGAGGAAACUCUGGUGGAGGCUCGCAGCGGUUCUGACGUGCAAAUCGAUCGUCAAAUUUGGGUAUAGGGGCGAAAGACUAAUCGAACCAU
This 877-nucleotide ribosomal RNA is filed under the name Ramularia hieracii-umbellati. Its description in RNAcentral is "eukaryotic LSU rRNA". It matches the Rfam family "Eukaryotic large subunit ribosomal RNA", at positions 35 to 943 of the family's 3401-position model. The record is from RNAcentral. Lineage: Eukaryota; Fungi; Ascomycota; Dothideomycetes; Mycosphaerellales; Mycosphaerellaceae.